RNAcentral lists this ribosomal RNA (510 nucleotides) under uncultured bacterium. RNAcentral's name for it is "bacterial SSU rRNA". It matches the Rfam family "Bacterial small subunit ribosomal RNA", at positions 19 to 518 of the family's 1533-position model. The record is from RNAcentral.
CUGGCUCAGGAUGAACGCUAGCUACAGGCUUAACACAUGCAAGUCGAGGGGCAGCAUGUGGUUGCUUGCAACCAAUGAUGGCGACCGGCGCACGGGUGAGUAACGCGUAUCCAACCUUCCCUAUAGUAGAGGAUAGCCCGGCGAAAGUCGGAUUAAUACUCUAUGUUAUUCAAUGCGGACAUCUAAGUUGAAUCAAAGGUUUACCGCUAUAGGAUGGGGGAUGCGUCUGAUUAGAUAGUCGGCGGGGUAACGGCCCACCGAGUCGACGAUCAGUAGGGGUUCUGAGAGGAAGGUCCCCCACAUUGGAACUGAGACACGGUCCAAACUCCUACGGGAGGCAGCAGUGAGGAAUAUUGGUCAAUGGGCGAGAGCCUGAACCAGCCAAGUAGCGUGCAGGAUGACGGCCCUAUGGGUUGUAAACUGCUUUUAUACAGGGAUAAAGUGACGUACGUGUACGUUUUUGUAGGUACUGUAUGAAUAAGGACCGGCUAAUUCCGUGCCAGCCGCUGC